Molecule: long non-coding RNA, 408 nt
Filed under: Nicotiana benthamiana
Lineage: Eukaryota; Viridiplantae; Streptophyta; Magnoliopsida; Solanales; Solanaceae
Description: long non-coding RNA (NBEN_LNC020778)
Source: RNAcentral
ACUUCUCCAUCACCCUCCUUUCAUCAGGAGAGGUGUAUCCUCAAGAGGAGUAGGUUGCUCGGUCCGAAGAGCAAGGUCAAGAUCCAUGCAACCGAGAACGAUCAUUAUGUUCUCUUUCCAUUCCUUAAAGUUUGUGCUAUUAAGCACAGGGAUGCUAUUGAUGUUGGAAGAUAUCGAAGCAGCAGAAGAAUUAACUGAAAAUAGAACAAAAGGAUGACUUAACACAUGCUUCAAUUACUUGAACUUUAAAUUUACUUUAUAGAUUCAAAAUAGGCAAAUCCCAUUACAAGAUACCAAGCACAACAUUGAUUUUAGUCUUUGGACAGAAAAAUAACUUGUAAGUGGUACUCUUGGUGUAGUGAUCAAACAUAGACAAUAAACUUCUGUCAAAUAUCAAACCUUCCUUUG